UUAAGCGACUAAGCGUACACGGUGGAUGCCCUGGCAGUCAGAGGCGAUGAAGGACGUGCUAAUCUGCGAUAAGCGUCGGUAAGGUGAUAUGAACCGUUAUAACCGGCGAUUUCCGAAUGGGGAAACCCAGUGUGUUUCGACACACUAUCAUUAACUGAAUCCAUAGGUUAAUGAGGCGAACCGGGGGAACUGAAACAUCUAAGUACCCCGAGGAAAAGAAAUCAACCGAGAUUCCCUCAGUAGCGGCGAGCGAACGGGGAGCAGCCCAGAGCCUGAAUCAGUAUGUGUGUUAGUGGAAGCGUCUGGAAAGGCGCGCGAUACAGGGUGACAGCCCCGUACACAAAAAUGCACAUAUUGUGAGCUCGAUGAGUAGGGCGGGACACGUGGUAUCCUGUCUGAAUAUGGGGGGACCAUCCUCCAAGGCUAAAUACUCCUGACUGACCGAUAGUGAACCAGUACCGUGAGGGAAAGGCGAAAAGAACCCCGGCGAGGGGAGUGAAAAAGAACCUGAAACCGUGUACGUACAAGCAGUGGGAGCACGCUUCGGCGUGUGACUGCGUACCUUUUGUAUAAUGGGUCAGCGACUUAUAUUCUGUAGCAAGGUUAACCGAAUAGGGGAGCCGAAGGGAAACCGAGUCUUAACUGGGCGUUAAGUUGCAGGGUAUAGACCCGAAACCCGGUGAUCUAGCCAUGGGCAGGUUGAAGGUUGGGUAACACUAACUGGAGGACCGAACCGACUAAUGUUGAAAAAUUAGCGGAUGACUUGUGGCUGGGGGUGAAAGGCCAAUCAAACCGGGAGAUAGCUGGUUCUCCCCGAAAGCUAUUUAGGUAGCGCCUCGUGAAUUCAUCUCCGGGGGUAGAGCACUGUUUCGGCAAGGGGGUCAUCCCGACUUACCAACCCGAUGCAAACUGCGAAUACCGGAGAAUGUUAUCACGGGAGACACACGGCGGGUGCUAACGUCCGUCGUGAAGAGGGAAACAACCCAGACCGCCAGCUAAGGUCCCAAAGUCAUGGUUAAGUGGGAAACGAUGUGGGAAGGCCCAGACAGCCAGGAUGUUGGCUUAGAAGCAGCCAUCAUUUAAAGAAAGCGUAAUAGCUCACUGGUCGAGUCGGCCUGCGCGGAAGAUGUAACGGGGCUAAACCAUGCACCGAAGCUGCGGCAGCGACACUAUGUGUUGUUGGGUAGGGGAGCGUUCUGUAAGCCUGUGAAGGUGUGCUGUGAGGCAUGCUGGAGGUAUCAGAAGUGCGAAUGCUGACAUAAGUAACGAUAAAGCGGGUGAAAAGCCCGCUCGCCGGAAGACCAAGGGUUCCUGUCCAACGUUAAUCGGGGCAGGGUGAGUCGACCCCUAAGGCGAGGCCGAAAGGCGUAGUCGAUGGGAAACAGGUUAAUAUUCCUGUACUUGGUGUUACUGCGAAGGGGGGACGGAGAAGGCUAUGUUGGCCGGGCGACGGUUGUCCCGGUUUAAGCGUGUAGGCUGGUUUUCCAGGCAAAUCCGGAAAAUCAAGGCUGAGGCGUGAUGACGAGGCACUACGGUGCUGAAGCAACAAAUGCCCUGCUUCCAGGAAAAGCCUCUAAGCAUCAGGUAACAUCAAAUCGUACCCCAAACCGACACAGGUGGUCAGGUAGAGAAUACCAAGGCGCUUGAGAGAACUCGGGUGAAGGAACUAGGCAAAAUGGUGCCGUAACUUCGGGAGAAGGCACGCUGAUAUGUAGGUGAGGUCCCUCGCGGAUGGAGCUGAAAUCAGUCGAAGAUACCAGCUGGCUGCAACUGUUUAUUAAAAACACAGCACUGUGCAAACACGAAAGUGGACGUAUACGGUGUGACGCCUGCCCGGUGCCGGAAGGUUAAUUGAUGGGGUCAGCGCAAGCGAAGCUCUUGAUCGAAGCCCCGGUAAACGGCGGCCGUAACUAUAACGGUCCUAAGGUAGCGAAAUUCCUUGUCGGGUAAGUUCCGACCUGCACGAAUGGCGUAAUGAUGGCCAGGCUGUCUCCACCCGAGACUCAGUGAAAUUGAACUCGCUGUGAAGAUGCAGUGUACCCGCGGCAAGACGGAAAGACCCCGUGAACCUUUACUAUAGCUUGACACUGAACAUUGAGCCUUGAUGUGUAGGAUAGGUGGGAGGCUUUGAAGUGUGGACGCCAGUCUGCAUGGAGCCGACCUUGAAAUACCACCCUUUAAUGUUUGAUGUUCUAACGUUGACCCGUAAUCCGGGUUGCGGACAGUGUCUGGUGGGUAGUUUGACUGGGGCGGUCUCCUCCUAAAGAGUAACGGAGGAGCACGAAGGUUGGCUAAUCCUGGUCGGACAUCAGGAGGUUAGUGCAAUGGCAUAAGCCAGCUUGACUGCGAGCGUGACGGCGCGAGCAGGUGCGAAAGCAGGUCAUAGUGAUCCGGUGGUUCUGAAUGGAAGGGCCAUCGCUCAACGGAUAAAAGGUACUCCGGGGAUAACAGGCUGAUACCGCCCAAGAGUUCAUAUCGACGGCGGUGUUUGGCACCUCGAUGUCGGCUCAUCACAUCCUGGGGCUGAAGUAGGUCCCAAGGGUAUGGCUGUUCGCCAUUUAAAGUGGUACGCGAGCUGGGUUUAGAACGUCGUGAGACAGUUCGGUCCCUAUCUGCCGUGGGCGCUGGAGAACUGAGGGGGGCUGCUCCUAGUACGAGAGGACCGGAGUGGACGCAUCACUGGUGUUCGGGUUGUCAUGCCAAUGGCACUGCCCGGUAGCUAAAUGCGGAAGAGAUAAGUGCUGAAAGCAUCUAAGCACGAAACUUGCCCCGAGAUGAGUUCUCCCUGACUCCUUGAGAGUCCUGAAGGAACGUUGAAGACGACGACGUUGAUAGGCCGGGUGUGUAAGCGCAGCGAUGCGUUGAGCUAACCGGUACUAAUGAACCGUGAGGCUUAACCUU
This 2901-nucleotide ribosomal RNA is filed under the name Escherichia coli 1-176-05_S1_C1. RNAcentral describes it as "bacterial LSU rRNA". It matches the Rfam family "Bacterial large subunit ribosomal RNA". The record is from RNAcentral. Lineage: Bacteria; Pseudomonadati; Pseudomonadota; Gammaproteobacteria; Enterobacterales; Enterobacteriaceae.